Molecule: ribosomal RNA, 161 nt
Filed under: uncultured Rhodocyclaceae bacterium
Lineage: Bacteria; Pseudomonadati; Pseudomonadota; Betaproteobacteria; Rhodocyclales; Rhodocyclaceae
Description: partial 16S ribosomal RNA
Rfam family: Bacterial small subunit ribosomal RNA
Source: RNAcentral
CAUACAAUGGUCGGUACAGAGGGUUGCCAACCCGCGAGGGGGAGCUAAUCCCACAAAGCCGAUACGUAGUCCGGAUCGCAGUCUGCAACUCGACUGCGUGAAGUCGGAAUCGCUAGUAAUCGUGGAUCAGCAUGUCACGGUGAAUACGUUCCCGGGUCCUU